Molecule: ribosomal RNA, 651 nt
Filed under: Nostoc sp. HS094
Lineage: Bacteria; Bacillati; Cyanobacteriota; Cyanophyceae; Nostocales; Nostocaceae
Description: bacterial SSU rRNA
Rfam family: Bacterial small subunit ribosomal RNA
Source: RNAcentral
UCGGACGGGUGAGUAACGCGUAGAAUCUGGCUNUAGGUCUGGGACAACCACUGGAAACGGUGGCUAAUACCGGAUGUGCCGAAAGGUGAAAGGUUAACUGCCUGGAGAUGAGCUCGCGUCUGAUUAGCUAGUAGGUGUGGUAAGAGCGCACCUAGGCGACGAUCAGUAGCUGGUCUGAGAGGACGAUCAGCCACACUGGGACUGAGACACGGCCCAGACUCCUACGGGAGGCAGCAGUGGGGAAUUUUCCGCAAUGGGCGAAAGCCUGACGGAGCAAUACCGCGUGAGGGAGGAAGGCUCUUGGGUCGUAAACCUCUUUUCUCAGGGAAGAACAAAAUGACGGUACCUGAGGAAUAAGCAUCGGCUAACUCCGUGCCAGCAGCCGCGGUAAUACGGAGGAUGCAAGCGUUAUCCGGAAUGAUUGGGCGUAAAGCGUCCGCAGGUGGCUGUGUAAGUCUGCUGUUAAAGAGUCUAGCUCAACUAGAUACAAGCAGUGGAAACUACACGGCUAGAGUACGUUCGGGGCAGAGGGAAUUCCUGGUGUAGCGGUGAAAUGCGUAGAGAUCAGGAAGAACACCAGUGGCGAAGGCGCUCUGCUAGGCCGUAACUGACACUGAGGGACGAAAGCUAGGGGAGCGAAAGGGAUUANAU